GAUGAACGCUGGCGGCGUGCUUAACACAUGCAAGUCGAGCGAAGCAUUUAAGUGGAUUCCUUCGGGAUGAAGGUUAUAUGACUUAGCGGCGGACGGGUGAGUAACGCGUGGGCAACCUGCCCCAUACCGGGGGAUAACAGCCGGAAACGGCUGCUAAUACCGCAUAAGCGCACGGUACCGCAUGGUACAGUGUGAAAAACUCCGGUGGUAUGGGAUGGGCCCGCGUUGGAUUAGCUAGUUGGCAGGGUAAAGGCCUACCAAGGCGACGAUCCAUAGCCGGCCUGAGAGGGUGGACGGCCACAUUGGGACUGAGACACGGGCCCAAACUCCUACGGGAGGCAGCAGUGGGGAAUAUUGCACAAUGGGGGAAACCCUGAUGCAGCGACGCCGCGUGAGCGAAGAAGUAUUUCGGGUAUGUAAAGCUCUAUCAGCAGGGAA
This 438-nucleotide ribosomal RNA is filed under the name uncultured bacterium. Its description in RNAcentral is "bacterial SSU rRNA". It matches the Rfam family "Bacterial small subunit ribosomal RNA", at positions 28 to 446 of the family's 1533-position model. The record is from RNAcentral.